Molecule: ribosomal RNA, 406 nt
Filed under: uncultured bacterium
Lineage: Bacteria
Description: partial 16S ribosomal RNA
Rfam family: Bacterial small subunit ribosomal RNA
Source: RNAcentral
AUUGAACGCUGGCGGCAGGCCUAACACAUGCAAGUCGAACGAGUGGCGGACGGGUGAGUAAUGUCUGGGAAACUGCCCGAUGGAUGGGGAUAACUACUGGAAACGGUAGCUAAUACCGCAUACCAUCGGAUGUGCCCAGAUGGGAUUAGCUAGUAGGUGGGGUAAGGGCUCACCUAGGCGACGAUACCUAGCUGGUCUGAGAGGAUGACCUGCCACACUGGAACCGAGACACGGUCCAGACUCCUACGGGAGGCAGCAGUGGGGAAUAUUGCACAAUGGGCGCAAGCCUGCUGAAGCCAUGCCGCGUGUAUGAAGAAGGCCUUCGGGUUGUAAAGUACUUCCAGCGAGGAGGCGUUACUCGCAGAAGAAGCACCGGUUAACUCCGCGCCAGCAGCCGCGGUAAUAC